This is a long non-coding RNA of Equus asinus (donkey), 1829 nucleotides long. Lineage: Eukaryota; Metazoa; Chordata; Mammalia; Perissodactyla; Equidae. The record is from Ensembl.
UUUUGAGUUUGGAAAAACACCUGGAGAGCACCCUGUCAAGGAGUUUGAGAUGCCAUCCAGCUGGUCCUGGUGCUUGUCCUUGGUGUAGCCACUUAGGGAUCUCUAGGGUCACAGAGGGGCCACAGGCCUACUCAGACACCUGGGGUGGUUCUGGUUGGAGUUCAUUUAACAAUGUCUAUGAAGGACGUACUGUGUGCAGGGCAUCUGGACACACUAAGUGUCACUCAAUAAAUGAAGCAGACAGCCUCACUGGGCCUCCUCUCUAAUCUGAGAGUCAGUCACGCUUGACAUCAUUCCUAGGUCCCAUCUACCCUCCAUCCCGGCCGAUGCCCUCAUCCCCUUUGGGACACAUGGAGGCAGCUUGGCCCAUUGUGUGCAGGAUGCUGGAGGACAGCACCACCUCCCAAAUGCUAUUUCCUGCUGGGAACCUGGCUGGGCCAAGGGCAGGAUUGCAGGGAGCCCCUACAGUUUCCAUGCUGGACCCUGCAGCUGGCCACUCUGCACGUCAGCUUUGGUGGCUUACAUGUGGAGGGCCAUACCUACCUUCUGCCAGGCCACCUGGAGCACCUCAAGGCCAUUGAGGCCAAACAGAAAGGUGAGGGGACUGGAGUCUGAGAAGACUGUCUGUGUUGAGGUUCAUGGGCUAGAGUUCCCUUAAAGGCAGUGGAGUCCUUCCUGUCUUUGGAAAGGCACAGAAACUGUCAGGUGUGUGGGUGAAACUUUCUCCUUAUCCUGCUGCAGAGCCAGCUCCAAAGCUCCUGCCACAUCCAGAGGCAGAGCCAGAGCCAGAACCAGCCCCUGUGCUAGAGUCAUCUCCAGCUCCAGCCCCACCACCCGUGGCAGAGCUGGAGCCAGCGUCACCUGCAUCGGACCCUACAGGGCUGGAGGAAGGGCCACCAUUAACUUCAUCCCCAGUGCCAGCUCCUGAACUAAAGCCCACUGGACCCUGGGCCGUGACCGCCGAAAACCAGCUGAGGGAGGAGAAGCUGAACAUCUUGGACUUCCCUCCCCGGCUCGUGGCAGAGCAGCUGACAAGGAUGGAGGCGGAGCUGUUCAAGAAAUUGGUGCCUGCCCACUGCCUGGGCUCCAUCUGGUCCCAGCGAGACAGCAGGGACCACAAGUACCUGGCACCCACCAUCCGUGACACUGUGGCACACACGAACACCUUGGCCAACAGUGUCAUCGCUACGUGCCUCGGGGCCCUGGGCAUGACAGCGCAGGACAGGGCCAGGAUGGUGGAGCUGUGGAUUCAUGUGGCCAAGGGAGAGAUCCUACACCUUUAAGAAGUGGUGCAGGGGACAGCAGCAUGUGAGCAAGAGACUGUUCCUGAAGGGUGUCAUCCCCUCCCUCAAGAUGAUCUUCAGUUACCUGGAGCUGCUGCAUGAUGAGACAGAUUAUUAUGUGGAGGGGAAUGUGCUCAGCUGUCGGAAUGAGGAAUUCAAAUUCAUCAAGGACAUCGAGAUGGUCCAGAAGGCUGCAAAUCUGUACACCGUGCAGCCCAAUGAGCAUUUUGGUGCCUGGUUCCAGGCUGUGGAGCCCCUGAGUGAGGAGGCGAGCUACAGCCUGUCCUGUCAGCUGGAGCCACAAUACCAGUGGGCCAGAAAGAUUCGACUCUUCUUCAAAGACAAGAAGAGCCACUCAUCUUCCCGCCCAGGGCUGAACACCAGGCCCCCAAAAAAGAGCCCAGCGGUGGUGGCAGAUGACGCUCCUGAGACCAGCUGAACUACAGCAGGGACACUCAGGUACACAGGUCCACCUCUCAGAUGCUGAUGUGAAUGAAAACUUUGUGAUCCAUUUCCUGGGGUCCCUGAAGGCCACAAGGCAGUGGA